AUGGUGAAAGGAAGAAUCUGCAUCGGAAAAGGAAAGCAGCUCUUUGCCCUUUUCUCCAACUGGAAAAGUUCUGUGGAGAUGUGGGCAGCUUGUUGGCCAGAGACAAAAAGAGAGUUCUAUAAGGAGUCAAUUACACCACAGGUGUCUGAACUUGGCAAGAAAAAUCAGUUUGGUGCUGAAACUUGUGACAUACAGAUAUGUGGUAACAAAACUUGGCUUCGUAGUGCAGAUACGGUGAAAUUCACGUUUGGAUACGAGAUGGGUGCCGAUGAGGCCCGCCAGCGUGGCGCCGGACCCACUGUCAGUGGCUGCACAGUGCGGGCGAGGGCGUGUGGCCCGGGUUUUCGCGAAACCCCCCCGGAAUUUGUUUACUUCUCACAAAAAAGCCCCGGCCGUCGCACAUAACGCGAGCCCCUCGAUCCCGUAAAUCCUCGCCCGCGAUGCAUCAAAAAAAAAAAAUCCUCGCCCGCGAUCCCCAAUUCAAGAACAGGGCGACGGCUUAGUUCCGCACGACGGCGACGGCGGCACUCCCCUCGGUUCAGCAUGAUGGCGGCAGCGCCGGUGUUCCCCUCGGCUGCGCGCGAAGGCGGCGGCGGCGCUCCCCUCGGCUGCGCGCGAAGGCGGCGGCGUCGCUCCCCUCGACUGUGCGCGAAGGCGGCGGUGGCGCUCCCCUCGGCUGCGCACGACGGCGGCGGCGGCGCUCCCCUCGGCUGCGCAUGACGGCGGCGGCGGCAGCUCUGGCAGAAGGGAUCCCUGACUUCUGAUGGGAGGGUCCGACAUACCUAGGAUGGUGGAUGGAGGGGCGAAGGUGGAGGAGGAGGACGAACCGUGGGCCAAAAUUACCUCCGUUGUGUACUUCAGAAAGCAUCAGGUAAAUCAUCUUCCCUUUUCUCAGAAAAAUUUGUAGGAUGUUAGGUUCAAUUGGAGUUGAACUCAGGAAGAUGAGCUGGACAAGGGUAAGAUGUGCAGGCACUUUGAGUCAGCAGCUAUGCGGGUAUGCAAAGGAGUGGACACUGGAAGGAGAUUUUUGUCAUGCCAAUAUGAGGAGACGUGUGGUUAUGUCAAAUGGAUUGACAAGCCAAGCCAUGGGAGGGGAGGUAAAGAACUGUCAUUGGUGAAGUUGCUAACAACAAAGAGGUGCUAGAGAAGAAGCUAAUGCAGAAAGAUGGUCAGAUAGAAACUAAGGAGAAGCACGGACUUGAGAAGAAGAAGAUUGAAAGGAUGCACAAAGAUCAGUUACAAUCUAGAGAUAGGACGAUUAUGUUUGUUGUGUUCAUGUACUUUGGGUUAGUCGUAAUCAUGUUUGAUGUGGUUGACAAGAAGUAAUGUUGUCAUUGUCCAGUCUAGAAGGUCAUGUAUGUUGCUGAAAAUUUGUAUUUUGCUGAAUAAUCUUUGGUGAAUUACAAAGAAUGUACCUUUUGG
RNAcentral lists this ribosomal RNA (1422 nucleotides) under Triticum aestivum (bread wheat). RNAcentral describes it as "partial small subunit ribosomal RNA". The record is from RNAcentral. Lineage: Eukaryota; Viridiplantae; Streptophyta; Magnoliopsida; Poales; Poaceae.